This 891-nucleotide ribosomal RNA is filed under the name uncultured bacterium. Its description in RNAcentral is "bacterial SSU rRNA". It matches the Rfam family "Bacterial small subunit ribosomal RNA", at positions 525 to 1398 of the family's 1533-position model. The record is from RNAcentral.
GUAGGGGGGGCAAGCGUUUUUCCGGAAUUACUGGGGUGUAAAAGGGGUAUGCAGGCGGAUUUAUAAGUUAAGUAUGAAAAACUCUAGGCUUAACCUAGAGCUCGUGCCUAAUACUGUAAUCUAGAGAGUAGGAAAGGGAAGUGGAAUUCCCGGUGUAGCGGUAAAAUGCGUAGAUAUCGGGAGGAACACCAGUGGCGUAAGCGGCUUCCUGGCCUAACUCUGACGCUCAUAUACGAAAGCUGGGGGAGCAAACAGGAUUAGAUACCCUGGUAGUCCUAGCUAUAAACGAUGGGUGCUUGGUGUUGGGGGUUUUCCCUCAGUGCCGUAGCUAACGUGUUAAGCACCCCACCUGGGAAGUACGAUCGCAAGGUUGAAACUCAAAGGAAUUGACGGGGCCCCGCACAAGCAGCGAGGCAUGUGGUUCAAUUCGAUGCUACACGAAGAACCUUACCUGGGCUUGACAUGUAUGAGAAAGCUGGAAGAAACUCUGGCCCUCUGAGAGAGUAAUCUCGAUGACCCAUACACAGGUGCUGCAUGGUUGUCGUCAGCUCGUGUCGUGAGAUGUACGGUUAAGUCCGUGAACGAGCGCAACCCCUUUCCUUAGUUGCUAAUACGCUUCGGCGUAUGCACUCUAAGGAUACUGCCAGUGGAAAACUGGAGGAAGGAGGGGAUGACGUCAAAUCCUCAUGGCCUUUAUGUCCAGGGCUACACACAUGCGACAAUGGUCGAUACAAAGCGUUGCAAGCCAGUAAUGGCAAGCCAAUCGCAUAAAAUCGUCCUCAGUACGGAUUGAGGGUUGCAAUUCACCCUCAUGAAGCUGGAGUUGCUAGUAACCGCCGGUCAGCUAUACGGCAGUGAAUGCGUUCCCGGGGCUUGUACACACCGCCCGUC